RNAcentral lists this long non-coding RNA (4785 nucleotides) under Sus scrofa (pig). RNAcentral describes it as "lncRNA (ENSSSCG00000062819.1)". The record is from RNAcentral. Lineage: Eukaryota; Metazoa; Chordata; Mammalia; Artiodactyla; Suidae.
AUACUCCAGAAUAAUCCAAAUAUUAGAAUUAAAGGAUAAUGACUUUAGAGUAGCUAAACACUAAACAACUACAAUGAUGUUCAAGUCAAGGGGAAAAAUGGCCUUAAUAAGUAUAGAGAUGGGAAAUCUCAAAAAAGAAAGGAAAGUACAAAAAAAUGAACCAAAUUGAAACCUAGAAUGAAAAAUUACAAUAUUUGAAAUGAAAAUUUUCACUUUGAUAAGCUUGAUGUCAGACUGGAGAUGGCAUAAGGGGUCAGAAAACUUCAACUUGGUUUGAUUGAAAUAAUCCAAUCUGAAUGAUACACAGAAAAAGAUGGAAGAAAAAUUAACAGUUAUUCAGUGACCUGUGGGAAAAUAUCAUUCAAACAUCUGCAAAUAGGAUCCCAAAAAGAGACAAGAGAGAUAAAAAGUAGUGAAAUAAAUUAUGAAGAUAUGAUGUUUGAGGUUGUCUCAAUUUGAUGGGAAAAAAGGUCAAAUUACAGGUCCAAAAAGCUGAUCAAACCCAGAAUAAAUUCAAACCAUGCCUGGACACAUCAUAGUAAAAUUGCUGUAAACCAACAUAAAGAAGGCAGGCAAAGAAAUGAGCACAGGCAAAGAAAAUUAACAAAUUAUAUAUAGAGGGCUGGAAUACAUAAAAUUGACUUCUUAUCAGAAAAUACUGGAGUAAAAGACAUUCUAAGUAUAAGCAAGUAUAAAUGAUUAUCUUCUUUUUGUCUAUGAAUUUCUUUUUAAAAACAGAUGAAACAUUAAAGCAAAAAUAAUACAAGGUGCUUUACAACCACUGUAAAGUGAAAAUGUUUGACAAAUUAGAACAAAAAAAGGUUGUAAGUAUACUUCUGUAAGAUUUUUACAUCUGUGAUGUGUGAUGUGCAAAUAGUGUGAUGAUAAAAUACUCUAAAUUGACUCUAAUGAGAGAGAGAGAUUACUAAAUUUAGUAGAGAAACUACAAAAAUAAAAAAUAAAAAAGGGACAGCUAAAAAGCAUGAGAGAAAAUAAAUGAAACACUAGAAAUAUUUAAUUAAACCAAAAGUAGACAUCCAAAAAAGGAACAGAGGAAUAAAAGACAAAUUAUACAAAUAGACUGUGUUGGUUAAAAUAGUAGAUUUUAACCCAGCCAUACCAAUAAUUACAUUAAAGGUAAAUGGACUAAGUAUUCAAAAGAUAUUGUAUAGCUGCUUUCAAAAAGCAAAUUCCAACCAUAUGCUCUCUACAAGAUGCAUUGAAAACAGGCACAGAGGUUGAAAGUAAAAAGAUGGAAGAUAUAUACCAUACAGCAAUAAACAUUAAUAAAACUGUUAUGGCUAUAUUAGUAUGAAACAGAUAUUCAAAACAAGGAGUAUUAAAAGAAAUAAAGAGAUGUUAUAAUAAAAAGGUCAAUCAACAGAAUACAUAACAAGCUUAAAUAUGCAUCUAAUAAGAAAGUGUUGAAAGUAUAAAACAAAACUGAUGUAACUAAAGAGAGAAACAUAUAAAUCUAUGAUCACAGUUGGAAUGUUAAACACAUCUUUCCUAUUUGCUAAUAGAACAGACAGAAAAAAAUAGUACAAAUAUAGAAGAUGUGCGAAAAACAAUUAUGAGCUAAUCGACAUUAACAUAAGACUGCAAAAGAAAAAAUUCUUGUCAAGUACCAAGAGAACAUUCACCAGGGUAAAGCCUGUACCUAAACAGUACAUUUCAAUAGACUUCAAAAUGCUGAAAUCCUACAGAGUAUGUGCUCUGACCACAAAGAAUUAAAUAGAAAUUAAUUAAUAGAAAUAAGAUAUCUAGAAAAUUCCCCAAAAUUAGGAAAUUUUAAAAUACAUUUAUAAAUAAACAAUAGGUAGCAAAAAAUCAGAAGGAAAAUUUUAAUUGAAUAAUAAUGAAAGUAAAACAUCAAAAUUUGUGAGGUGCAUUUAAGCAGUUCUUAAAGGGAAGAAAUAUAUGGCUUUAAAAGCCAAUAUCAGAAAAGAAGAAAAUUAUAAAGUGAAUCACUUAACUUACCAAUUUAAGAAGGAUUAAAAAAAAAUCACAUUAUACUCAAAAAACAAGUAGAAAAUAGGAAGCAAUAAAGAACAGAAAUCUAUAACUGAAAAACUUGGAGAAAAUUAACAAAUUCCUAAGUUGAUUCUUUAAAAGACUAACAAAAUGGAUAAGCCUAUAUGAAUAUUGAUGAAGAAAAAAUAAAAUUAGCAAUAGCCAAAUUGAAAUAGUGGCUAUUACUACAAAAUAUUCAGGAAAGAGAAUAUUGUAAGCAACUUUAUGCUAGUGAACUAGACAAUAAAAUGGAAACAUUUCUUGGGAGAGAAAGAGACUUAAAAAGCAGUUUGAAUUUUUAAAAUGACAAAAGAGGAAAUAGAAAAAUCUGUCAAGUCCUAUUAAAGAAUUUAAUUUAUAAUCAAAAAUCUUUUCAAAAAGAAAUCCUGACUUAGUUUGACAAUUUCCAUCAAGCAUUUAAGGAAGAUAAAAUAACACUAUCACACAAAAUAUUUCAGAAAAUAGCAGAGGAAGGAAUUCUUUUAAACUUAUUUUUUUGAAGACAACAUUGCUCUAAUAACAAAGAAUGACAAGGUAUCAUAAGAACAGAAAAUUAGAAUUCCUGGUUUCUGUUCUGGCAUGAAAGACCUCGGAAGUCAUCCCUCUCAUCCUUAAGCAAUAUGAAGAUAAACAAAUUGAAAAUCAACAGCUCUUCUUAAACCCAUGAGAGAGCUGAGGCAACAGGGCAAGCUGCCACCACAAAAUCUGGAGAGAUGGGCAAAUUCAGAGUCACAGCUGAAGUUGACUUUCCUGGAAUAAAAGUCAUAAUGUGGGAGGAGCACUAAAUGGUAAUGUUGAUGAAUUGCUGAAACUUAGAGUAAACCAGUUUGACAAACUCUUUGACAGUCUUAGGAGGGGCUCACACCUUUACCCAGGAACCCCACCAGAUUCUCACAGUGAGGAGCCAAGAAAGAUGUCCUCUUUGCUCUGGCUGGGCGGGGAGAGCUAGAGUAACCAUUAUGAAAUGUACUCAGAGUCUUCUCCUUAACAAAUGACUACUCUCCAGGGGGAAAGACUUUGCCAGAGCCUUAUUCCACCUGGGAGAAAGGCUUUUCUAUGACUCUAGCAUAGAGAUGAGAACUCUGAAAGAAACAGAAGGAAAUGUUAGAAACCACUGAAAACACUUCACAGUAAUGAAAAUGCCUUCAGUAGACUGGACACAGCCAAGGAACAAAUCAGCAAGCUUGAGAAUGAGAAAAAAAUCAGAAAAGAACAUUCAAAAACUGUGGGAGAAUUUCAACAUAUGCGCAUUUAGAAUACUAGAAGGAGAAUAAAAAAUCAAGCAAAGAUAUUUUCAUAAUGGCCAAGAAAUUUAGAAAAUUGACAAAAUAUUCCAAACCACAGAUGCAGGAAACUCUGGGGUAACUAAGCAGGAUAAGUGCCAUAAAAUCAACAUUUUGACAAAUUAUACUGAAACUGCAGGAAACCAGAGCAAAAAGAAAAUACUGAAAGAUGCCUCGGGUGCGGGUGGGGAUUUUUCCAAAGAGAAAUAAAAAGAAUUACAGCACACUUCUCAAUAGAAGUCAUAUAGACAAGAAGCGAAUUGAAUGAAAUAUUUAAAGUAUUGAGGGGGAUCGCCGAUUAUCCUUCAAAAGUAAAAGAAAAAUAGAGACAUUUUAAAUGAAAAAAAAAAAAACCAAAACUGAUGGAAUUUGUCAACAACAGACCUGCCGUGAAAUAAAUGCUAAAAGAAGUUCUUUAAAAAGAAAUAAUGUGUGUGUGUGUGUAUAUAUAUACAUAUGUAUAUAUAGAGAGGGAGAUUAUCAGAAAUGUGGAUCUACAUAAAGAACAUUGGAGUAGAAAAAUAUAAUGGUAAAACAAAAUUGCUUAUUUUUCUUAAUCUCAAUUGAUCCAAAUUGUUAUAUUUUGUUUAAUGCAAUAUAAUGCAUACUUAUAGUAUAUGGAUAAGUAAAAUGAAUGACAGUAAUAUCAUAAGGGAUGAGAUGGAGGCAUUAGAAAUACUCUAAGAUCUCUGUACUACUUGUGAAGUGGUAGAGUGCUGUUUUAUGGUAGACUUGGGUCAGUUUAUUUUGCAAACUCUAGGACAACCAUUAACAUUUUUUUAAAAGAAACAUUUAAAAUGUAAAGAGGGUAGAUGAAAUGGAAUCAAAUUAAAUACUUAGUUAAAACUAGGAAAGGCAGAAAAAAGAGGGAAAAAUAAAAUUAGAGGACAAUAUCUCUCAUAAAAAAUAGACAAAAAAUUGAGUAAAUUAGAAUACCACAAAAUAUAAAAAUAUUUAAUAAGUCUUAGGACUUAUUCAAGAACUAAACAAAUCUGUUUCAACAUUAAUAUACUUUAACAGAAUGAAAAAGUAAAAUCGAGUAAUCAUCUUAAUGCAGAAAAAAUCAGUUAACAAAUUUCAGCAGCUAUUCAUAAGAAAAAAAUUCACAGCCUUAAAAAAUAGUAGGAACUGCUCUAUUUGAUUAAAAAAAAACUUUAUAGCUAGCCUCAUAAUAAAUGGUACUAUACUAAUGAUUAAAACUAGCGAGAACAGAUUUCUGCUCUCAUCAGCUUUUUUUUCUUUUGAGCAUUUGUCAAAGAUAUAUUUAACUGAUUAUUAAGAAAACCAGCAGGAUGAUAAAGCUAGUUCAAAGGAAAAUAAGAAAAAACUGAUAUAUAGUCAACUGGCCAGUAGAACACAGAAUGCUAGACUAAGACUGCAAAGUUGAAUAAAAAUAAAAAUAUAAAUAAAUAAAUAAAUAAUAAAGCCUUAAGACCGUAAACUUUGAGGUUUUCUUUUCUGUCACACAGAAUUUGUUUGCAUCUUUUUU